CAUGAAUCUCAUAAAUUAAUUUCCCCACUUCUUUUCUUUAUAGCCUCAGUCAUAGUUCAGUUGACGCACCACAGCUAAUAUUAGCUAACUGUGGAUCCACGUCAUCACCUGAACAAUUCUUUUUUUUUUUUUUUUUAAUUUGUAAAGCUGUGAAAUGUACACAAUGACGCUGUAGACGACGUUACUUGAGUUUUAGCACUAUCGUCU
Molecule: long non-coding RNA, 207 nt
Organism: Thalassophryne amazonica
Lineage: Eukaryota; Metazoa; Chordata; Actinopteri; Batrachoidiformes; Batrachoididae
Exons: 3
Source: RefSeq, a predicted model, not a curated record